This 65-nucleotide transfer RNA is filed under the name Dolichovespula xanthicincta. RNAcentral describes it as "tRNA-Arg". The record is from RNAcentral. Lineage: Eukaryota; Metazoa; Arthropoda; Insecta; Hymenoptera; Vespidae.
AUAUGAAGGAAAAAUUUCCAUUUAAUUUCGACUUAAAAAUUUGAUUAUUAAAUUUAAUCCAUAUU